RNAcentral lists this ribosomal RNA (301 nucleotides) under uncultured bacterium. RNAcentral describes it as "partial 16S ribosomal RNA". It matches the Rfam family "Bacterial small subunit ribosomal RNA", at positions 509 to 809 of the family's 1533-position model. The record is from RNAcentral.
CAGCAGCCACGGUAAUACGAGGGGUGCAAGCGUUAUUCGGAUUGAUUGGGUGUAAAGGGUGUGCAGACGGCUUAUUAAGUCACUUGUUAAAUUCUUCGGCCUAACUGAAGGUCUGCAAGUGAUACUGAUGAGCUAGAGGGUGGAAGAGAGAAGUGGAAUUCUCGGAGUAGCGGUAAAAUGCGUAGAUCUCGAGAGGAACACCAAUGGCGAAGGCAGCUUCUUGGUCCAUUCCUGACGUUCAUACACGAAAGCGUGGGGAGCAAACAGGAUUAGAUACCCCCGUAGUCCCUGUCUCUUAUAA